CGUGAAGCCAGAGCUGUCGCCGCUCUCGGAGGUAAAGAAGACUGGAGCUUGGCGGCCAUAUUUGAAGUGGGUAAGAAGCCGCAAAGGGCCGCGUUCACAAGCUCGCGCACAGAGUUUUCGGGAGAUUGAAGGGGAAGCUGCCUAUUGAAGUUUGACUUCUCAGACUUCCAUGCUGUGAAAAACCCAGCCUAACCACAAGGAGGAGCACUGAGAACUUGGCUAACAGCUCCAGUUAAGCUCCCAGCCAACAGUUACCACCAACACUACAGCUCUAUGAAGAAGGCCAUUUUUGGAAGUGGGUUCUUCAGCCUACUGGAGCUAAUUUAAGAGUGACUCCAUGUGGAGGGAGAUAGGCUGCUUGCUCUGCCUAGCUCUGCCCAAGUUGCAAAAUGACAAGCAAAUACAGUGAUUGUGGUUGUAAGCCACUAAGUUUUGGAGUACUUUGCUGUGUGGCAGUAGAUCACUGAAAUGUAUUCUAACGUUAAUGUGACUAGGUAUUUGUAUUUGGGAAGAGAGCAUUUCCUUACUACUAAAGCUAACAGGUCUGCUAUGGAGGUUCCUUA
This is a long non-coding RNA of Vicugna pacos (alpaca), 563 nucleotides long. RefSeq lists it as uncharacterized. Lineage: Eukaryota; Metazoa; Chordata; Mammalia; Artiodactyla; Camelidae. The record is from RefSeq and is a predicted model, not a curated record.